This is a long non-coding RNA of Vicia villosa (hairy vetch), 504 nucleotides long. RefSeq lists it as uncharacterized. NCBI's taxonomy places the organism in Eukaryota, Viridiplantae, Streptophyta, Magnoliopsida, Fabales, Fabaceae. The record is from RefSeq and is a predicted model, not a curated record. The transcript is spliced from 3 exons.
UCAAUGAAGCUAUUUGAAGUAGAUCCGUUGAUAUAGUCUGUCAUAGAAGGCGGGUCACGACCAUAAAGGGCGCGGAAGGGGGUCAUAUGAAUUGCCGAGUGGUAUGAAGUGUUAUACCAAUAUUCAGCAAGAUGAAGGAAUUUGUACCACUAUCGCGGCUGGGAGCUAACGAAACAGCGAAGGUGUUAAGGAACAAGGGAUCCCGAUCUGAAACAAUAGACUUUGGUUGACCAUGAAGGCGUGCGAUUUCAACUACAAAUCGUUUAGCAAGAUCUUGUACGGUGAACUGAGAGGGCAUAGCAAUAAAAUGGGCAGACUUGGUGAGACGAUCGCAUAUGACCCAGAUUAUGGUGUGGCCGAAGGAGUUUGGCAAAUGAGUUAUGAAGUCCAUUGAAAUGUCCUCCCACACUUGUUUUGGGACAGAUACCUGGCCAACAGAAAGAUGUAGAGAUUCGGGCUAGUGUGGCUUUAAGUCCUGAAUGUCCUGCAGUAGGUGUGGCGUGG